RNAcentral lists this ribosomal RNA (609 nucleotides) under Cryptococcus sp. HB1134. RNAcentral's name for it is "eukaryotic LSU rRNA". It matches the Rfam family "Eukaryotic large subunit ribosomal RNA", at positions 68 to 667 of the family's 3401-position model. The record is from RNAcentral. Lineage: Eukaryota; Fungi; Basidiomycota; Tremellomycetes; Tremellales; Cryptococcaceae.
ACUAGGAUUCCCUUAGUAACGGCGAGUGAACCGGGAUGAGCUCAAAUUUGAAAUCUGGCGUCUUUCAGGCGUCCGAGUUGUAAUCUAUAGAGGCGUUUUCCGCGCCGGACCGCGUCCAAGUCUCUUGGAAUAGAGUAUCAAAGAGGGUGACAAUCCCGUACUUGACGCGACAACCGGUGCUCUGUGAUACGUUCUCAAUGAGUCGAGUUGUUUGGGAAUGCAGCUCUAAAUGGGUGGUAAAUUCCAUCUAAGGCUAAAUAUUGGCGAGAGACCGAUAGCGAACAAGUACCGUGAGGGAAAGAUGAAAAGCACUUUGGAAAGAGAGUUAAACAGCACGUGAAAUUGUUAAAAGGGAAACGAUUGAAGUCAGUCGUGUGGGAAGUAUUCAGCCGUCUCUGGCGGUGUAUUUGCUUCUCACGGGUCAACAUCAGUUUGAUCCGGUAGAAAAAGGCGGGAAGAAGGUGGCACCCUCGGGUGUGUUAUAGCUUCCUGUCAUAUGUGCCGGACCAGACUGAGGAACGCAGCUUGCAGCAAUGCCGGGGUUCGCCCACGUACAAGCUUAGGAUGUUGACAUAAUGGCUUUAAACGACCCGUCUUGAAACACGGACC